GAUGAACGCUGGCGGCGUGCUUAACACAUGCAAGUCGAACGGUGAAGCCGGAGCUUGCUCUGCUGGAUCAGUGGCGAACGGGUGAGUAACACGUGAGCAACCUGCCCCUGACUUUGGGAUAAGCUCUGGAAACGGCGUCUAAUACUGGAUACGAGCUGCUAAGGCAUCUUCAGCAGCUGGAAAGAACUUCGGUCAGGGAUGAGCUCGCGGCUUAUCAGCUUGUUGGUGGGGUAACGGCUCACCAAGGCUUCGACGGGUAGCCGGCCUGAGAGGGUGACCGGCCACACUGGGACUGAGACACGGCCCAGACUCCUACGGGAGGCAGCAGUGGGGAAUAUUGCACAAUGGGCGAAAGCCUGAUGCAGCAACGCCGCGUGAGGGACGACGGCCUUCGGGUUGUAAACCUCUUUUAGCAGGGAAGAAGCGAAAGUGACGGUACCUGCAGAAAAAGCGCCGGCUAACUACGUG
Molecule: ribosomal RNA, 468 nt
Filed under: uncultured bacterium
Lineage: Bacteria
Description: partial 16S ribosomal RNA
Rfam family: Bacterial small subunit ribosomal RNA
Source: RNAcentral